GGGUGCGGUGCCUCUGCACCGCAGGUCUCCCCGGUUGGUCGGGCCGCCAGCC
Molecule: non-coding RNA, 52 nt
Filed under: Sandaracinus amylolyticus
Lineage: Bacteria; Pseudomonadati; Myxococcota; Polyangiales; Sandaracinaceae
Description: Li+-I sequence
Rfam family: nhaA-I RNA
About the family: Acidobacteria, Alphaproteobacteria, Betaproteobacteria and Gammaproteobacteria, Verrucomicrobia, cand. division NC10. Downstream gene
Source: Rfam by way of RNAcentral